CUUGACGACCUGGGCAAGAUGGCGACGCUACAGGGCGGACUUCUGGGGCCGGACCCGGGAGCGCUGAGCCCCGCGCAACAGGAGCAGCUGCGCAACUUCAAGAUUCAGACUCGGAUUGCUAAUGAAAAAUACCUGAGGACCCACAAAGAAAUAGAGUUGCUCAUAAGUGGUUUCUUCAGAGAAAUGUUUUUGAAAAGACCAGACAGCAUCCAAGAAUUUUCUGCAGACUAUUUCACGGAUCCAAGACUUCCCAACAAGAUUCACAUGCAACUAAUUAAGGAGAAGAAAGCGGCUUAAUUAGCAGAAUCAGGAUGCUCAGCUGUUGAGAGAGACCAGGAAGAAUCCAGCCUCAGGGGUCACCCGGAAGCAAGGGAGCCCUGUUGCCAUCAGAGUGGGGUCCCAAGCUGCCUUGGGCCAUAUCUGCUGUUGCAAAGGCUUUUAAAGAUAUUCAUUAAAAACAGACCUUUCUAAUCUCUCUGCUGUGUUUCACUCAGAAGAGGAUGCCAUCCAGUAGGGAGGGCUGCGGCACCCCUCCUUGGACCUGCUGGGCCGCAGGGCCGUCUCUCCAUCUACCGCAGCCUGUGGGCCUCCACUAGGGCAGCAGGCUGCUCCCACGUAUGCCUCACACUGUGUCCUCCUUGACCCUCCAGGCCACUUGCUCCCAGAGCUGAGGCUGGAGGAGAGAACAGGGGUGGGGACUCCAAGAGGCCCACAGCUGAUUGGGGCGGCCCUGAAGCUGAGUCCACGUUUUAGCACGGUGUCCUCCCCACCCCCAUCUUCCCUCCCAUUUACCGUAUGGCGUGUACAAGGUUUAACUUUUCUAUCAGCGAUAAAAGCAAUGGGGCUGGAGGGACUGCAAGAAAAUGAGACUGGACAAGGAAAACCCAUUUGGGGUCCUGCAUCUUGUGAAUUAUAAAUCUAACAGGUGACUCAGAAGUGGUGGACUUUGUUCAUGAGGAUUUUUACCAACAAGCUGCCCAUCUGUUGUUUGCAGCUAACAGGCAGGGGAGAGGGCCAGUUGGUCUUUGACAUCCUUUCCAGGCCUGGAAGGCAUGAAUGUCUUCUGUGCUUGUGCCCUACCUCUCUGGUCUCCACAACCCGCUGUGUGAAGGACCUCUCACCUGGGUGUCUCCGGUCCACAUCACCAAGGCAACGGAGGCACAGCCCAAAGCAGGGGCUGUGCUUUCUCUCUCUGCCCCUUGUCUCUGUCCAUCUUAUCCCCAGCUACCAGCCCCUCCAUGGUGGAAGGGCCACAGAGCCGGGCAUGGAGAGGACUAGUAAAGCGAUGCCUAAUAAGCUAUGCAGCAGGAACCUGAAGAGUUUUUCAAGUGCUUUCAGAGUCACACUUCAGCAGCUAUGGCUCUGGCAGUGAGCUACCCCUGCUUAGAAAAUCAAGAUGAAGCCGUCAGCAGAAAACCCACAUGUAGUAAGGACCUCUGAUGUGAAGUGUUAAAUUAGACUCUCUCGAAAGCUUUCCCAGGAAGGGAGGCCUGCCUCAAGGUGGGGAGAGGGCAGUGUUUUCCAGAUGCUCAUGUGCAUGAUACCACAGGAGGACAGUGGUUCAUUCUUGGAAGGUUCCUGGAAGAAAUAAUAAAUGCAUUUCAAUUAGAAUAUAUUUCAAAGCCAAGGAAAGCUUGCAUUUAGCACGUGGUCCUAGAGCAUCUGCUCUGUUUGACAUCACACACUGGGUCCAGAGGGUCAGGUGCAGAGGUCAUCCUGCCACGAGCUGCUUGACGGUCUGGGAGGAGAUGUGCACCUUUCUCCCCAAGCGUGAACUGUCCGGAUAGCUCACCUUGUAGAUGGAAAGCACCGUCAGAACAGGGGCCAAAUCUAAAAACCGGGCUUAUGUCUGGCAUGUAGUAAGUGCUCAGUAAGCAUCUGUGGAGGGAAUGAAUGCUUGUGUAAUGGAGCAAGCAAUCAUGUUGCAUCAGCCGCUACAAAGACUUAUAAAGUCACAGAGCUGUGAUGGGUGUAGGUACAUCUAGAGGAGGAGGAAGAAAGGAUACCGGCUCUACGUGCAGGAGUGAGGACGCCCCAGAGAAACUGGCAUGGGAUGGGUGGGGAAGGGUUUGCCAGAGGGAUGUGGAGGGUGGCAUGGGGGGCCAGGGUACUGUAGGCUCUCCACUUUGCUGAGCAGGGAGGUGGUAGCAGACCCUGCAUGUCCCCUGCUCAUCCUUCUUAUCCCUUUCUUCCCUGCUGACCAUACACCAGCUUUGUUGAGGGCAGCAGUGGGCUCAGCCCCAAGUGGUAGAUGGUAUUUAUCCUGAGCCAAGCAUGGCAAUCACAUUCCCUGGUUUCCCAGCCUGCCUUGCAGCAAGGGGCAACACGGGUCAAGGUGCACUGUGGGUUUCUAGGAAAGCUUGGAACCUUCCCUUUUCCCACCUUUCUUCCUGUUUUGAGCCUGAAAGUGAGGUCUAGAGCUGAGUGGUUGUAGUAAGGCCAUGAAGGGACAAGUACGGUGGCUGAGCCAGUCCUCCAGAGUGGCAGGGAACAAAGAUCAAAAGACUGAGGGCCUGGUGGCAUCUUUGAGCACUUGAACAACCGAGUAAACACCUGCCUUCAGACUUCCUGACAAGUGAGAAAAAAUACAUUUCUCGUUUGUUUUGAAAGCACACCAAGAGUUUAAUCCUGACCCACCACUUACCAGUUGUGCAGCCUUGGCAAAGCUGCUUAACUUUCUUGAGGUCAGAUUUCUCAGUCUAGAAACUGAGACAUGUAAUUAGCAGCUCCUGGGGCUGCUGGGUUAGGAAUAAAGAAGGGACAGUGCCUGGCACGUGGGCAGUGUUCAUAGGAGGGUCUGACUGGAGGUGAGAACAACGCAGGGAUGAGAGACCCAACAGGAGGAAGAUGGACCCGCCACAAGGAGCAUCACACAUGAGACCCAAGAGGCUGAUCUUCACCAUCUGGGCAACAGAGAGCCAGCAAAAACUUUUAAGCCAAGAAGAGUUCAUGAAGAGAUUUAGAAAGUGUCAGAGUGUGGAAGAUAAACUAGAGGAAGCUCCGACUAGAUGUGGAAAGACCUGUGGUCCCAGCCCGCACCGUCUCUCCCGGCCCCUCUGCAAGGCCCCUCUGCACUCCCAUCUUAGCAGGCCUGUGCCCAGGCCGGCCCGCUGUCAGCGGAGAGCCCACUGCACCUGGGAACAGAAAACCCAGUUUAUGGCGGCUGACGCAAAUAGAGGGUUGUUUUUCUCACCCAACAGUGUGUCUGGCUAUAGGCAAGAUUCAGAGGUUCAGUGGUGAACACAAGGACGCAGACCAGGCUUUCAUCCCUUCCACUCAGCCAGCUGUAGCCUGUGGCUGCACUAUUGCGAGGGGCUGCUUCUGUUCUCCAGUGGGGAGAAGGUGGCAGAGCUGCACCAGCCGAGUCUGUCCCUUUUUGUUGGGAAAGCCAAGUUUCCCCAAAUGUUCUCUCCACCUGCAUCUCACAGGGCAGACUUGGGGUCCACCCAAGUGCUCCAGGGAUGGGGAAAAGGAACAUUUAACUCUAGCUUCUAGAGAAGGCAGUGUCCGGAGAAGAGUGGGAAUUGCUGUUGGGUUAGCCCCAAAGCAGUGUCCAUGCUCACCAGUUCCUUCUACCUGCCCCUGCCUGUCCCUGUCUGUCCCUGCCAUUCCCCCCAAAGAAUGAUCUUUUAAGAAACCUAAACCGGAGGGGUGCCUGGGUGGCUUGGUCGGUUGUGUCCCAACUCUGGGUUUUGGCUCAGUUCGUGAUCUUACAGGUCCUGGGAUGGGCUGUGUCUGUGUCGGGCUCCACCCUUGGCCGGGAGUCUGCUAGAAGAUUCUCUCCUUCCCCUCCCCCAAUUGGUGUGCCCCUUUUGCUCUCUCCAGUAAAUAAAUCUUUUAAACAAGAAAGAAAAAGAAAGAAAGAAAGGAAGGAACCUAAAUCAGAGUAUGUCACUCUUCUGCCAAAAACCGUUCCAUGGUCUUCCAAGGCACUUAAAUCCAGAUGGCUUUCUAGGGGCCUCAGAGCUUUGCAAGACCCCCUCCAUUUCUCAGACGUUUUCUGCCCCCUGCCUCCCACCUGCCUGUGUUCCAGACACACAGGUCUUUUCUCCCUUCCUCAGACAUGCCAGCGGAGUUCGGAGUUCCGGAGUCAGGGUCUUUGAACUCUGCCUGCAUUGUUCUUCUCCAGGUCUUCACAGGGCUAGGGGGCCCAGCUAGGAUGCUCUGGUCUGAAAGGAAGCCUCUUGCUAAGGGAGCAGGACUUACUUUU
Molecule: RNA transcript, 4210 nt
Organism: Mustela erminea (ermine)
Lineage: Eukaryota; Metazoa; Chordata; Mammalia; Carnivora; Mustelidae
Gene: RIIAD1
Gene name: regulatory subunit of type II PKA R-subunit domain containing 1
Exons: 5
Source: RefSeq, a predicted model, not a curated record